This 496-nucleotide ribosomal RNA is filed under the name uncultured bacterium. Its description in RNAcentral is "partial 16S ribosomal RNA". It matches the Rfam family "Bacterial small subunit ribosomal RNA", at positions 29 to 507 of the family's 1533-position model. The record is from RNAcentral.
AUGAACGCUGGCGGCGUUCCUAAUACAUGCAAGUCGAGCGAACAGACGAGGAGCUUGCUCCUCUGACGUUAGCGGCGGACGGGUGAGUAACCCGUGGAUAACCUACCUAUAAGACUGGGAUAACUUCGGGAAACCGGAGCUAAUACCGGAUAAUAUAUUGAACCGCAUGGUUCAAUAGUGAAAUACGGUUUUGCUGGCACUUAUAGAUGGAUCCGCGCCGCAUUAGCUAGGUGGUAAGGUAACGGCUUACCAAGGCAAAGAUGCGUAGCCGACCUGAGAGGGUGAUCGGCCACACUGGAACUGAGACACGGUCCAGACUCCUACGGGACGCAGCAGUAGGGAAUCUUCCGCAAUGGGCGAAAGCCUGACGGAGCAACGCCGCGUGAGUGAUGAAGGUCUUCGGAUCGUAAAACUCUGUUAUUAGGGAAGAACAAAUGUGUAAGUAACUAUGCACGUCUUGACGGUACCUAAUCAGAAAGCCACGGCUAACUACGUG